AAACGCUUGAAGUCAGUCGCACCGUUCAGGAUUCAGCCUUGCUUCUGCUCGGUUUACUUCCUGUUGGGUGGGUCAACAUCAGUUUUGGUCGGAGGAGAAAGGCUUGGGGAAGGUGGCAGCAUUCGUGCUGUGUUAUAGCCCCUUGUUGUAUACUUCGACUGGGACUGAGGACCGCAGCACGCCUUUGGCCGGGGUUCGCCCACGUACGUGCUUAGGAUGUUGGCAUAAUGGCUUUAAGCGA
This 241-nucleotide ribosomal RNA is filed under the name Sebacina sp. RNAcentral's name for it is "partial large subunit ribosomal RNA". Lineage: Eukaryota; Fungi; Basidiomycota; Agaricomycetes; Sebacinales; Sebacinaceae. The record is from RNAcentral.